CUGACCCACUGACCCACUAAGUUAGCUCUCUACAACCCACUUAGCACGUUCCAGAACACCCUGAAACUGUCUUAGGAAAUUAAAGGUAAUACAGGAAAUUACAAUAAGACCCAUACAAAUAAACGUAAUGACUCUAAUACCCUUAUGCAGCUGGUGUCCACAUCCGAUUCUGUUCCCCUAGGAGAACCACGUGGCAGCCCUAGAAAGGUACCUUGAGCCCUGGUAUUAAGGUACCCUUGUCCGAACCGUACACCCAGCUCCCUCAGUCCGAUGCAUAACACUCUGAAGAUGCAGACAAAAUUACCUCCUCCUGGUAUUGGCAUGCCCAUGGUUUCGCUUUAGAGGGAAGGUAUGUGCAGAAGAAGAUUCGCUUAACUAAGCAAAUAGAGAAGUUCAAACGUACAGCACACCAAGAGAUAUUUAAUACUACUGGCAUGGCGUUUGGUUCACAAGCUACAAGGGAGUACACCCGUGGGUCUUCACCAGAGUUGUUGCACAUGCAGGUUGGUGGUGGUUUCGAGAGAAGAACAUGGUCUAUGAAAUCGUCAUUCAUGCCCCCCUAAAAAGAAAAUGAAGUCCUUAAUUGGUAAUAAAAGCAUUAAGAGGCAAUGCUUACUCCUUUAGUGGUUGUCACAAAUAUAAU
Molecule: long non-coding RNA, 643 nt
Organism: Alnus glutinosa
Lineage: Eukaryota; Viridiplantae; Streptophyta; Magnoliopsida; Fagales; Betulaceae
Exons: 3
Source: RefSeq, a predicted model, not a curated record